Molecule: ribosomal RNA, 915 nt
Filed under: uncultured bacterium
Lineage: Bacteria
Description: bacterial SSU rRNA
Rfam family: Bacterial small subunit ribosomal RNA
Source: RNAcentral
UUGUUGGUAAGGUAAAAGCUUACCAAGGCUUCGAUCAGUAGCUGGUCUGAGAGGACGACCAGCCACACUGGGACUGAGACACGGCCCAGACUCCUACGGGAGGCAGCAGUGGGGAAUUUUGGACAAUGGGGGCAACCCUGAUCCAGCCAUGCCGCGUGAGUGAAGAAGGCCUUCGGGUUGUAAAGCUCUUUCAGCCGGAACGAAACGGUUACGGAUAACACCCGUGACUACUGACGGUACCGGAAGAAGAAGCACCGGCUAACUACGUGCCAGCAGCCGCGGUAAUACGUAGGGUGCGAGCGUUAAUCGGAAUUACUGGGCGUAAAGCGUGCGCAGGUGGUUUUGUAAGUCAGAUGUGAAAGCCCCGGGCUCAACCUGGGAACUGCGUUUGAAACUACAAGACUAGAGUGUGGCAGAGGGGGGUGGAAUUCCGCGUGUAGCAGUGAAAUGCGUAGAGAUGUGGAGGAACACCGAUGGCGAAGGCAGCCCCCUGGGUCAACACUGACGCUCAGGCACGAAAGCAUGGGGAGCAAACAGGAUUAGAUACCCUGGUAGUCCAUGCCCUAAACGAUGUCAACUAGUUGUCGGGCCUUUACGGGCUUGGUAACGUAGCUAACGCGUGAAGUUGACCGCCUGGGGAGUACGAUCGCAAGAUUAAAACUCAAAUGAAUUGACGGGGACCCGCACAAGCGGUGGAUUAUGUGGAUUAAUUCGAUGCAACGCGAAAAACCUUACCUACCCUUGACAUGUAUCGAAGCCCGCAGAAAAGCGGGGGUGCCCGAAAGGGAACGAUAACACAGGUGCUGCAUGGCUGUCGUCAGCUCGUGUCGUGAGAUGUUGGGUUAAGUCCCGCAACGAGCGCAACCCUUGUCAUUAAUUGCCAUCAUUUAGUUGGCACUUUAAUGAGACUGCCGG